Molecule: ribosomal RNA, 709 nt
Filed under: Nocardioides sp. 93ND17
Lineage: Bacteria; Bacillati; Actinomycetota; Actinomycetes; Propionibacteriales; Nocardioidaceae
Description: bacterial SSU rRNA
Rfam family: Bacterial small subunit ribosomal RNA
Source: RNAcentral
CGCUUCAGAUACGCUUCACGAACGGGGUCUAUUACCGGAUACGACACUUUCAGGCAUCUCGAUGAGUGUGGAAAGUUUUUUCGGUGGGGGAUGUGCUCGCGGCCUAUCAGCUUGUUGGUGGGGUAAUGGCCUACCAAGGCUUCGACGGGUAGCCGGCCUGAGAGGGUGACCGGCCACACUGGGACUGAGACACGGCCCAGACUCCUACGGGAGGCAGCAGUGGGGAAUAUUGGACAAUGGGCGGAAGCCUGAUCCAGCAACGCCGCGUGAGGGAUGACGGCCUUCGGGUUGUAAACCUCUUUCAGUACCGACGAAGCGAGAGUGACGGUAGGUACAGAAGAAGCACCGGCCACUACGUGCCAGCAGCCGCGGUAAUACGUAGGGUGCGAGCGUUGUCCGGAAUUAUUGGGCCGUAAGGGCUCGUAAGCGGUUUGUCGCGUCCGGAGUGAAAACACCGGGGCCUUAACUCCGGUGCUUGCUUUUCGAUACCGGGCAAAACUAAAGGUAUGCCAGGCGGAGAACGGAAUUCCCUGGUGUAGCGGUAGAAAUGCGCCAAAUUAUCCAGGAAGGAACCCCCCGGUGGGCGAAGGCGGUUCCUCUGGGGCAUUUACCUUGACCGCUGAAGGAACCGAAAGUGGUGGGGAGCCGAACAAGACUAAAAUUACCCUGGUAAUCCCCACCCGAAACCUUUGGGCCCUAAGGGGUGGGA